RNAcentral lists this transfer RNA (72 nucleotides) under Tropilaelaps mercedesae. It matches the Rfam family "tRNA". Rfam says of the family: Transfer RNA (tRNA) molecules are approximately 80 nucleotides in length. Their secondary structure includes four short double-helical elements and three loops (D, anti-codon, and T loops). Lineage: Eukaryota; Metazoa; Arthropoda; Arachnida; Mesostigmata; Laelapidae. The record is from Rfam by way of RNAcentral.
UCCGGCGUGGUUUAGUGGUUAGGAUACGUGGGUGUCAUCCACGGGUCCCGAGUUCGAUUCCGGGCGCCGGAA